CACUGACAUUAGAUACCCGCGUAGUCCAGGGUGUAAACGCUGCAGACUUGGUGUUGGAGGCCCUUUGGGGGCAUUCAGUGCCGGAGAGAAGUUGUUAAGUCUGCUACUUGGGGAGUACGUCCGCAAGGAUGAAACUUAAAGGAAUUGGCGGGGGAGCACCGCAACGGGAGGAGCGUGCGGUUUAAUUGGAUUCAACACCGUAAAACUCACCAGGGAAGACUGUUACAUGAAGGCCGAGAUGAAGACUCUGCUAGAUUUUCAG
RNAcentral lists this ribosomal RNA (262 nucleotides) under uncultured archaeon. Its description in RNAcentral is "partial 16S ribosomal RNA". It matches the Rfam family "Archaeal small subunit ribosomal RNA", at positions 720 to 982 of the family's 1478-position model. The record is from RNAcentral.